GGCUAUUAGCUCAUGGUAGAGCGCGCCCCUGAUA
Molecule: transfer RNA, 34 nt
Filed under: Daucus carota (carrot)
Lineage: Eukaryota; Viridiplantae; Streptophyta; Magnoliopsida; Apiales; Apiaceae
Description: tRNA-Ile
Source: RNAcentral